Molecule: small nuclear RNA, 190 nt
Organism: Fukomys damarensis (Damara mole-rat)
Lineage: Eukaryota; Metazoa; Chordata; Mammalia; Rodentia; Bathyergidae
Gene: U2
Rfam family: U2 spliceosomal RNA
About the family: U2 is a small nuclear RNA (snRNA) component of the spliceosome (involved in pre-mRNA splicing). Complementary binding between U2 snRNA (in an area lying towards the 5' end but 3' to hairpin I) and the branchpoint sequence (BPS) of the intron results the bulging out of an unpaired adenosine, on the BPS, which initiates a nucleophilic attack at the intronic 5' splice site, thus starting the first of two transesterification reactions that mediate splicing.
Source: Ensembl
GUUGCUUCUCAGCCUUUUGGCUAAGAUCAAGUGUAGCAUCUGUUCUUAUCAGUUAAAUAUCUGGUACGUCCAAUAUCUGAGGACAGUAUAUUAAGUGGAUUUUUGGAGCUGGGGGAUGGAACAAGAGUUUGCUGCAUCCACUCCAAGCAUUGACCUGGUACUGCAGUACUUCCAGAGCAGCCCUCUGGGG